GUCUCUGUGGCGCAGUCGGUUUAGCGCAUUCGGCUGUUAACUGAAAGGUUGGUGGUUCAAGCCUACCCAAAGACG
Molecule: non-coding RNA, 75 nt
Organism: Nerophis ophidion (straightnose pipefish)
Lineage: Eukaryota; Metazoa; Chordata; Actinopteri; Syngnathiformes; Syngnathidae
Source: the annotation of a RefSeq genome assembly